UUUGAAGUGAGUUAGAUGAUGAAUUUCAUGUUUACUUUUGUAUUUUCAUGCGUAUUUUCAAGCAUGAAUAUUAUUAUAUUUUGAUAUAAAUCUGAUGCAUGGGUAUUAAGCGCUAGUUAAAUAUUGCUAUUUCAGGAUUGAUUAUGCUAUGGGCACCCUAGUGACUAGAGUAUUACUAUCAUAUACUUCACAAAAAUAAUAAUCACCACAAAAUAUUAUGAUAUCAUUUAAAAAUAUUCAUGACUGACUUGUGUUCAGAAGUAUUUAUCAAUGACCUACAUACUCACAAAUGAUAAUAGCAGUUCAAAGAGAACAAAAAAUCUUUCUUACUAGAAAAAGGAUACAAAAUAGUCUAUCAUUAUAUGAUGAUUGUUUUUUUAAUGUGAGAAGUGAUAUCGAUAUUGAUAUUCAACGUCCUCAAGAUUGUCUUUUCUUGUUACCUUUUAUCAACUAGACAAAACUGUGAAUCCUUGCUUUUGACUUUUCAAUAUAUAUAUAAAUUUUUAUUUUUUAAAAAUAAAAAAUGGCCUAAGAGGCCCAUUUAUUUUCAAACAAAUAUUUACACAAACAAAUUAGCAAAGGAAAUAAAAGAAGAAAAAAUUAAAAGUAGAGAAGUCUCUAGAAAACAAAAGCAAGAAAGUGGCAAAAGGUGAAAAAGAAAAGUUGACAAUUAUCUGGAAGACAACACAAAUCUCCAAACAUCUUCACCUUCAAAUCUUUGAUCUGCUCUUCACUUCUGCCUCUCCUAGUUGUUCAUCAACUUCUUUACCAUACAAUCCAAAGAAGCCCGGUGAUGGUUCUCAUCCAAGAUUAAGGAAAAUGCAUAACUUAUAUUGUAUUUUUUAUCCAUCUCAGAUUCUAGCACGAGCUUUGAUAGAUUUUUUCUCAGACAUUCUAAAAUAUCAUGAAUUACAUGCUAUCUCAUCCAAGAGAAUACUUCUUCAACUCUACAAAAUCAGAUUUGGCUGUCAACCUUCAGAUAGGUUCAUCUUUAUUUAAGUGUUGUAUGCUUUAAAGCUGAUUUAAGAUAGAAAUUGGUUAACUGUUCUAUUAACCAAUAGGUUGAUCCUCAUGGAGCUAAUACCACUAAUAUAUAUGAUGAAAUAUUAGGUCAAUUUUCAAUUAAAUUGAGUAUGUUACCACUGCUAUUAUUUUCCAUGUAUGUUGUUUUUUCUCAUCUCCAUCAUGUUGUGCCUUAUAUUCCUUGAUUUUAAAGGAAAUUUCAUGUGCCAUAUUAUUUUGUUCUUCUGUUCCUAUUUGCUGCACGAUAAAAUUUCCAUUUUAACAUUUGGGAAUUCAAAUAUUAUGAAUUUGUUCUAUGUCCAAACUCAAGAUUGAUUUUCCAUCAUUUGGAACAUGUGUAAUUGAAUUAUAUGAGAUGCUUUGUGUACCUUCAGA
This 1398-nucleotide long non-coding RNA is filed under the name Capsicum annuum. RNAcentral's name for it is "long non-coding RNA (CANN_LNC019381)". Lineage: Eukaryota; Viridiplantae; Streptophyta; Magnoliopsida; Solanales; Solanaceae. The record is from RNAcentral.